Molecule: transfer RNA, 70 nt
Filed under: Proscopia sp. HS-2014
Lineage: Eukaryota; Metazoa; Arthropoda; Insecta; Orthoptera; Proscopiidae
Description: tRNA-Trp
Rfam family: tRNA
About the family: Transfer RNA (tRNA) molecules are approximately 80 nucleotides in length. Their secondary structure includes four short double-helical elements and three loops (D, anti-codon, and T loops).
Source: RNAcentral
AAGGACUUAAGUUAAAGAAACUAUUAGCCUUCAAAGUUACAAAUAAAAGUUAUUAACCUUUUAGGCCUUA